RNAcentral lists this unclassified non-coding RNA (425 nucleotides) under Hevea brasiliensis (rubber tree). The record is from RNAcentral. Lineage: Eukaryota; Viridiplantae; Streptophyta; Magnoliopsida; Malpighiales; Euphorbiaceae.
UGGAAACCAGAACAUCCACCAGUUUCCACACCCAAGCGAAGCAUUUUUUCAUCAGUCAACCCUUCACAGGCUUGCAGUUCCUUCAACCUCCGGACGCAAUUGUCAGUCAAGUGAAUAGCUUCAUCGAGCGAAGGGGAAGGGGAUGGAGAAGUUUCGCAAAGGGCAGAAGAGGAGUUCAGCAGCCUGUGAUUUUGGCGAAUCCGAGAGGUGAAGAAGGGUGUUACGCGAUGGAUUAACGAUGAUCUCGACAUGGCCUUUGUUGGGUUUAUUUCAGCUUUUUCUUGUUCCUAAUAAAGUACCAUUCUUGCGUAGAAAUAGCUAUGCUUGGUCUCUGGGUUCUGUUAGACCAGGAAUCUGGGACUGCUGAGAAAGGAAGCUUGUGCUUGCCCAACUGCCGUACACCACAUCCGCCUCACUUGCUUCCC